Long non-coding RNA from Saccostrea cuccullata (small rock oyster), 482 nucleotides. RefSeq lists it as uncharacterized. The record is from RefSeq and is a predicted model, not a curated record. The transcript has 2 exons. Lineage: Eukaryota; Metazoa; Mollusca; Bivalvia; Ostreida; Ostreidae.
UGAAGAGUUCAUGGUAAAUGGUGUCAAGCAUAUGCGAAUGAAUUUUUAUAUUCAGAGUCCCCACAAAGUAGGAACAGUGUAUGCUGAAAUAAAACAGGAGCCAGACAGGGAAAGUGAAUACGUAUACCUUAUUGUAGAACUGAAGGGGUUUCCCAGCAAAACUAUAGUCAUAGUGGACAAGAGAUGAUUGAGUUGGAAUCCAAAGAAUUUAAUGAGAAACAUGCAAUGUUUAGGUGUAUUCUGUAUAUAUUAUAUUAUUAUCAAGGCAUGGAAGGAAUAAUUCAGUCCCUUCAAUUGUGAGCCAGCUGCAAAAUUAAAAUUUUAACAUUUAAAUUGAAGAAAUAUACUCUUUGAGACUUCAAGAUUUCAUUGAAAUCAGAAUUGCUUACUAGUGUCACAUAAUACAUUGAAAUGUAUAUGAGGUACAUUUAUAAACUGCAUCUGGUGCUGAGAAGGUGCAAUAAAAUUGCAACAAAUCAAAA